UUUGUAGUUGGCUUACAAUUA
Caenorhabditis elegans is the source of this 21-nucleotide non-coding RNA. Lineage: Eukaryota; Metazoa; Nematoda; Chromadorea; Rhabditida; Rhabditidae. The record is from Ensembl.